GAAAGUAAUAAAGAGCGUAUGGGGGAUGCCUAGGCUCUUGGAGGCGAAGAAGGACGUGGUAAGCUGCGAAAAGUCGCGGGGAUUUGCAAACGAGAAUUGAUCCGCGAAUAUCCGAAUGGGACAACCCGGCAGGCAGAAGGCCUGUCACCCAGCAAUGGGGGCUAACCCUCUGAACUGAAACAUCUAAGUAGGAGGAGGAGAAGAAAGAAACAUCGAUUUCCAAAGUAGCGGCGAGCGAAAUGGAAGGAGCCCAAACCGGUAUUGUUACGGCAAUGCCGGGGUUAUAGGACUGCGAGAUUCGAAGGACAAAGAACUGGAAAGAUUUGGAAAAGUCGACCAUAGAGAGUGAAAGUCUCGUACAGGUAAUUGAGUUCAAAGAUAGCAGUAUCCUGAGUAUGGCGGGACACGAGGAAUCCAGUCAGAAUUCGCCGGGACCACCCGGUAAGGCUAAAUACUCCCAAGAGACCGAUAGUGAACCAGUACUGUGAAGGAAAGGUGAAAAGAACCCCGAACAGGGGAGUGAAAAAGAACCUGAAACCAUACGCUUACAACCUGUCGGAGCGGCUUCGUGCCGUGACGGCGUGCCUAUUGAAUAAUGAGCCUACGAGUUACUAAUCACUGGCGAGGUUAAGUGCUAGGAAGCACGGAGCCGAAGCGAAAGCGAGUCUGAACAGGGCGUUUAGUCAGUGGUUGUAGACGCGAAACCUUGCGAUCUACCCUUGAGCAGGAUGAAGGUUGGGUAAAGCCAACUGGAGGUCCGAACGAAUAAGCGUUGAAAAGCUUCUCGAUGACUUGAGGGUAGGAGUGAAAGGCCAAUCAAGCUGGGAAAUAGCUCGUACUCCCCGAAAUGCCUUUAGGGGCAGCGUUGUAAUAAAGAGUCUACUGGAGGUAGAGCUACUGAUUGGAUGCGGGGGCUUCACCGCCUACCAAAUCCCGACAAACUCCGAAUGCCAGUAGUAUGAUUUACAGCAGUGAGCCACCGGGUGCUAAUGUCCGGUGACAAAAGAGGAACAACUCAGACCAGCAACUAAGGUCCCCAAGCGUAUGCUAAGUUGAACUAACGAUGUUUUGUUGCAUAGACAGCUAGGAUGUUAGCUUGGAAGCAGCUAUUCAUUCAAAGAGUGCGUAACAGCUCACUAGUCGAGCGACAAAGCGUGGAUAAUAAACGGGCAUCAAGCAUACCACCGAAGUUCUGGGCGCGAAAGCGCGGUAGGGGAGCAUUCCAUUCAGCGUUGAAGCAGCGUCGUGAGAUGUUGUGGAGCGUAUGGAAAAGCAAAUGUAGGCAUGAGUAACGAUAAUGCGGGAGAGUAACCCGCACACCGCAAGACCAAGGUUUCCUGAUCAACGCUAAUCGGAUCAGGGUUAGUCGGGUCCUAAGGGUAAGCCGAACGGCGAUCUCGAUGGAUAAUCGGUUAAUAUUCCGAUACUGACAUAUACCUCGAUGGAGAGACGAAAUCGCGUAAGUACCGCCUCCUGACGGAAUAGGAGGUUAAAGGGCGUAUGUAUAGGGGCAGAUUAAGAGUCAGUCCUUGCUGAAACCCGACAGUACAGAGAGCCUACGGGCAAUUUGAUAGUGUACCCAAGCAUGUUUCCGAGAAAAUCUUCUAAGUUAUAGUAUAUGUCACCCGUACCGUAAACCGACACAGGUGGUCGAGGAGAGUAUCCUAAGGUGCUCGAGUGAAUCACGGUUAAGGAACUAGGCAAAUUAACCCCGUAACUUCGGGAAAAGGGGUCCCUACGCGAGUAGGGCGCAGCGAAGAGGUCCAGGCGACUGUUUAUCAAAAACACAGGGCUCUGCAAAUUCGAAAGAAGAAGUAUAGGGCCUGACACCUGCCCGGUGCUGGAAGGUUAAGAGGGGAUGUCAUCGCAAGAGAAGCAUUGAAUCGAAGCCCCAGUAAACGGCGGCCGUAACUAUAACGGUCCUAAGGUAGCGAAAUUCCUUGUCGGGUAAGUUCCGACCUG
Molecule: ribosomal RNA, 1962 nt
Filed under: human gut metagenome
Description: bacterial LSU rRNA
Rfam family: Bacterial large subunit ribosomal RNA
Source: RNAcentral